Molecule: ribosomal RNA, 468 nt
Filed under: uncultured bacterium
Lineage: Bacteria
Description: partial 16S ribosomal RNA
Rfam family: Bacterial small subunit ribosomal RNA
Source: RNAcentral
GACGAACGCUGGCGGCGUGCUUAACACAUGCAAGUCGAACGGAAAGGCCCUGCUUUUGUGGGGUGCUCGAGUGGCGAACGGGUGAGUAACACGCGAGUAACCUGCCCUUGACUUUGGGAUAACUUCAGGAAACUGGGGCUAAUACCGGAUAGGAGCUCCUGCUGCAUGGUGGGGGGUGGAAAGUUUCGGCGGUUGGGGAUGGACUCGCGGCUUAUCAGCUUGUUGGUGGGGUAGUGGCUUACCAAGGCUUUGACGGGUAGCCGGCCUGAGAGGGUGACCGGCCACAUUGGGACUGAGAUACGGCCCAGACUCCUACGGGAGGCAGCAGUGGGGAAUAUUGCACAAUGGGCGGAAGCCUGAUGCAGCAACGCCGCGUGCGGGAUGACGGCCUUCGGGUUGUAAACCGCUUUCGCCUGUGACGAAGCGUGAGUGACGGUAAUGGGUAAAGAAGCACCGGCUAACUACGUG